CUUCAACGACCCCAGCCACAACGGCCGUUCCCCGGCACGCUCUUGACCGUAGGUCGCGAUCAACGCCUGCGCCUC
RNAcentral lists this antisense RNA (75 nucleotides) under Streptomyces sp. PsTaAH-130. Its description in RNAcentral is "ASpks TB sRNA". It matches the Rfam family "ASpks TB sRNA". The record is from RNAcentral. Lineage: Bacteria; Bacillati; Actinomycetota; Actinomycetes; Kitasatosporales; Streptomycetaceae.